This 478-nucleotide ribosomal RNA is filed under the name uncultured bacterium. RNAcentral's name for it is "partial 16S ribosomal RNA". It matches the Rfam family "Bacterial small subunit ribosomal RNA", at positions 28 to 507 of the family's 1533-position model. The record is from RNAcentral.
GAUGAACGCUAGCGGCAGGCCUAACACAUGCAAGUCGAGGGAGAAGCCCUUUCGGGGGCAGAAACCGGCGCACGGGUGCGUAACGCGUAUGCAACCUACCUUUCACAGGGGGAUAGCCCGAAGAAAUUUGGAUUAAUACCCCAUAAUAUUAUUGGAUGGCAUCAUUUGAUAAUUAAAACUGCGGUGGUGAAAGAUGGGCAUGCGUCCUAUUAGCUAGUUGGAGUGGUAACGGCACCCCAAGGCUACGAUAGGUAGGGGUCCUGAGAGGGAGAUCCCCCACACUGGUACUGAGACAGGGACCAGACUCCUACGGGAGGCAGCAGUGAGGAAUAUUGAACAAUGGUCGGAAGACUGAACCAGCCAUGCCGCGUGCAGGAAGAAUGCCUUAUGGGUUGUAAACUGCUUUUAUAUGGGAAGAAUAAGGCGUACGUGUACGUUGAUGACGGUACCAUAUGAAUAAGCAUCGGCUAACUCCGUG